RNAcentral lists this ribosomal RNA (566 nucleotides) under uncultured freshwater bacterium. Its description in RNAcentral is "bacterial SSU rRNA". It matches the Rfam family "Bacterial small subunit ribosomal RNA", at positions 8 to 607 of the family's 1533-position model. The record is from RNAcentral.
AGAGUUUGAUCCUGGCUCAGAAUGAACGUUGGCGGCGUGGAUUAGGCAUGCGAGUCGCGCGAUAAUGUAGCAAUACAGGACAGCGGCGAAAGGGAGAGGACAACAUAGGAAUCUGCCCUGGGGUCGGGGAUAGCGUCGGGAAACUGACGGUAAUACCCGAUAAUAUCCAAGGAUCAAAGGAGCAAUUUGCCCCGGGAUGAGCCUAUGCCCCAUUAGCUAGUUGGCGGUGUAAUGGACCACCAAGGCUGUGAUGGGUAGCUGGUGUGAGAGCACGACCAGCCUCACUGGCACUGAGACACUGGCCAGACACCUACGGGUGGCUGCAGUCGAGAAUCUUCGGCAAUGGACGAAAGUCUGACCGAGCGACGCCGCGUGUGGGAUGAAGGUCUUCGGAUUGUAAACCACUGUCGAGGGGGAUUAAGGGAAACUUGAAAGAACCCUGGAGGAAGGGGAGGCUAAGCUCGUGCCAGCAGCCGCGGUAAGACGAGCUCCCCAAACGUUAUUCGGUAUUACUGGGCUUAAAGAGUUCGUANGCGGCGAAGUAGGUGAGGUGUGAAAGCCCUCGG